This 1689-nucleotide ribosomal RNA is filed under the name Triticum aestivum (bread wheat). Its description in RNAcentral is "partial small subunit ribosomal RNA". Lineage: Eukaryota; Viridiplantae; Streptophyta; Magnoliopsida; Poales; Poaceae. The record is from RNAcentral.
AUGGGUGCCGCGCGUCCACGGCGCUGGAGGUUCCCCUUCCAACGCAGCGCGCCCUCCUCCCCCUCCUCCAAGUCCCUCCCGCCGGCCCCCUACUCGCCCGCGCGCUCCGCGGCGGCAGCGUACCCGGAGCCGGAGAGGAGGUGGGCACAGCAGGAGGAGGAGGCCGCGCCGCCGGAGUUCGUGUGCCCGCUCUCGGGCGCGCUCAUGGCUGACCCGGCCAUCCUGCCCUCCGGCCAGACGUACGAGCGCGCCUGCCUCCAGGCCUGCGCGGAGCUCUCCUUCUUGCCCCCCGGCGCGGGCUCGGGUUCUGAUGCCAUGAUACCAAACUCCGCGCUCAAGGCCGCCAUCGGCUCCUGGUGCGCCCGCUCCGGCCGCGCGUCGCCAAGGCCGCCGUCCAAAGAAGCUGUUCGGGAGGCCGUGCUCCGCGCUAUGCCUCCGGCCGCGGCUGCAGCGGCCGAGGCCAAGUCUGUUAGGACCAGGAGGGCGGCUAUGGCGAGCUCGUCCAACUCAUCCUACUCGUCCCCGGCGUCCGCCGCGUCGACGUCCACGUACACGUCGUCCUCGGAGAUCACACCCCCGGAGGAGGAUGCGGCUGCGAAGCCAGUCAAGGAGGCGGCCAAGGAAGUGGAGUUGCCGGUUGACCCGUUGGAGGAUGAGGUGGUGGCGACGGUGAUGGACGCGGACGAAGAUGGAGAGGUGGCGGCCGCGUUGGCCGUCCUCCGGGACGCCACCCGGGAGAGCGCCGAGCGUCGCCUCGCGCUCUGCACGCCGCGGCUGCUCGCGGCGCUCCGGCGUGUGCUGCUAAUCCCGCGGCACGCCUCCGCGCGAAUCGACGCGACGGCGGCGCUGGUCAACCUCUCCCUUGAGCCGGCGAACAAGGUACGCAUCGUGCGCGCGGGCGCCGUGCCGGCGCUCGUCGAGGUGCUCCGCUCGGGCGGCUCGGCGCCGGAGGCGCGCGAGCACGCGGCCGGCGCGCUCUUCGGCCUCGCGCUCAACGAGGAGAACCGCGCUGCCAUCGGCGUGCUGGGCGCGGUGCCGCCCCUCCUGGACCUCCUCACCUCCCCCGCCCACCACCCGCGCGCGCGCCGCGACGCCGGGAUGGCGAUCUACCACCUCUCGCUCGCCGCCGUCAACCAGUCCAAGGUCGCCCGUUUCCCGGGGGCCUCCAAGGCGCUCCUCAGCGUCGCGUCCAGCGCCGCGGAGCCAACGCCCAUCCGCAGGCUGGCUCUCAUGGUGAUCUGCAACGUGGGCGCCUGCUCGGAGGGCCGCGCGUCGCUGAUGGACGCGGGCGCCGUCGCGGCAGUGUCCGGCAUCCUCCUCUGCCCCCACGACGACUCCACCCGCGUCACGCUCGCGGAGCUGGAGGAGUGGUGCGUGGCGGCGAUCUACGCGCUGAGCCGCGGCAGCCUCCGGUUCCGCGGCCUGGCGCGCGCGGCGGGCGCGGACAGGGCGCUCCGCCGCGUGGCCGAGGAGGGGACCCCGGGGGGCGUCCGGCGCGAGAUGGCGAGGAAGACGCUCCGCGCCAUGCGGGGCGACCUGGACGAGGAGGCGGACCUGACCAGCAGCAGCCUGGAGUGCGGGGACGGCGAGGACUGCGGCGGGAGCAUCGUGUCGGACGGGCUCAUGUCGUUCCGGCGGCGGCAGCGCGAGGUCGGGGCGUCGUCGUGCGGCAACACCGCCGAGUUCUGA